RNAcentral lists this ribosomal RNA (371 nucleotides) under uncultured bacterium. RNAcentral's name for it is "bacterial SSU rRNA". It matches the Rfam family "Bacterial small subunit ribosomal RNA", at positions 527 to 896 of the family's 1533-position model. The record is from RNAcentral.
GGGGGGUGCAAGCGUAGUUCGGAAUUAUUGGGCGUAAAGAGCGUGUAGGCGACCGGAUGUGUCAGAUGUGAAAGCCCUGGGCUUAACCCAGGAAGUGCAUUUGAAACUGUCCGGCUUGAGUAGGGGAGAGGGAAGUGGAAUUCCUGGUGUAGAGGUGAAAUUCGUAGAUAUCAGGAGGAACACCGGUGGCGAAGGCGACUUCCUGGCCCUAUACUGACGCUGAGACGCGAGAGCGUGGGUAGCAAACAGGAUUAGAUACCCUGGUAGUCCACGCCGUAAACGAUGUUCACUAGGUGUUGGGGGUAUUGACCCCCUCAGUGCCGGAGCUAACGCGUUAAGUGAACCGCCUGGGGAGUACGGUCGCAAGACUA